UGCGUGUGAAGCAUUGCUCUCAUAAACUUCAUAAGCUGCGGUUCCUCAAUACCAAGCCUCCUACCAAUUGCAACCUGGAGAGAAGUUGCAAGAGCAUGUAAAGCAAGCCUUUUCCUAAUGCAUCUUCAUUAGGACGGAGCAAUGCCAACAAAGUCUCCUUCAAGGGCUUCAGCAGAGUUGGAUCAUUUGCAGCUAAGGGCCCUAAAUGUGAGCAUGCAACCCUUAGAGCACUUGAAUGGUCUCCAGAACUGACCAGCUUAAGAAAUUCAACCUGCUUCAACUGGAA
Molecule: unclassified non-coding RNA, 286 nt
Filed under: Hevea brasiliensis (rubber tree)
Lineage: Eukaryota; Viridiplantae; Streptophyta; Magnoliopsida; Malpighiales; Euphorbiaceae
Source: RNAcentral